AUACGGAGGGUGCAAGCGUUAAUCGGAAUUACUGGGCGUAAAGAGUACGUAGGUGGUUUAUUAAGUCAGAUGUGAAAGUCCCGGGCUUAACCUGGGAACUGCAUUUGAUACUGGCAAACUAGAGUAUGGUAGAGGCGGGUAGAAUUCCUAGUGUAGCGGUGAAAUGCGUAGAUAUUAGGAGGAAUACCAGUGGCGAAGGCGGCCCGCUGGACCAAUACUGACACUGAGGUACGAAAGCGUGGGUAGCGAACAGGAUUAGAUACCCGGGUAGUCC
RNAcentral lists this ribosomal RNA (274 nucleotides) under uncultured bacterium. RNAcentral describes it as "partial 16S ribosomal RNA". It matches the Rfam family "Bacterial small subunit ribosomal RNA", at positions 523 to 796 of the family's 1533-position model. The record is from RNAcentral.